Molecule: microRNA, 22 nt
Filed under: Sarcophilus harrisii (Tasmanian devil)
Lineage: Eukaryota; Metazoa; Chordata; Mammalia; Dasyuromorphia; Dasyuridae
Also listed under: 1 other name
Description: Sha-Mir-7303-P2_3p (mature (guide))
Source: RNAcentral
CAGGCGUCUUCUUUGGGUGUGA